GAGGGUAUAGCUCAGUGGUAGAGCAUGUGCUUAGCAUGCACGAGGUCCUGGGUCCAAUCCCCAGUACCUCCA
RNAcentral lists this transfer RNA (72 nucleotides) under Camelus bactrianus (Bactrian camel). It matches the Rfam family "tRNA". From Rfam's summary of the family: Transfer RNA (tRNA) molecules are approximately 80 nucleotides in length. Lineage: Eukaryota; Metazoa; Chordata; Mammalia; Artiodactyla; Camelidae. The record is from Rfam by way of RNAcentral. RNAcentral also lists the same sequence under 1 other name.